Molecule: long non-coding RNA, 928 nt
Filed under: Olea europaea subsp. europaea
Lineage: Eukaryota; Viridiplantae; Streptophyta; Magnoliopsida; Lamiales; Oleaceae
Source: RNAcentral
UUUAUUUUGAUUUUCUUUCAUUUCAUCUGUGGAGUACAUAAGCCUACAUUGGGUUCGUUGUACUUGUGUUUUGGAGUGCUACAAACACAAGUGUAGCCGUUGUAUCUUGGGAGUCGAUUGCCGAAAUCCGUAGGCACCGUUGCGGGGCAAAUUCGACUUAAGGACAAAGAGUCCAACUCUUGCCUCGACUUUGUCACCAUCAUUAUACUUAUUUCGGCGUCACUAUUCACAAAAUUCUUCCAACAGUAUAUAUAUAAAUUAACGUAGAAGAUGCCUUUUUUUUACUCCAAUUCCGCUUCACGUGUGGCCCAAUUACAUGUAAUUUAUUUAUCAAGGCUUUACUUCAUUCCCCUGGUGUAUUUUAGCCCUCAUGCCAUUCUUAAAUUCAAUUCUACCACUUCAGUUUUUCAAUGUAUACAAUUUGGUCUCCGACUUUCGAUUAAGCUCAAUUUAGCCAAUUUCUCGCUUGUUUGGUCUAAUUCCUUUAUUUUUUCCCUUUUGCUUCUUUUCUUCUUCUUUUGCACUCUUUUUUUUAUCACUUCCAUCAAUCUACAAAAUAACAUCAAAAUCACAUAUUAGCACUUUUAAAAUACUUUCCAAAAUAGCAAAAUCAUGAAAUUAAUGGCAUAAUAUAAUGAGUGUAAAUCACUCAUCAGUGGGCAUAGUAAAUUCUACCCGUUAUGAGGUGGAGAUCAAAUCCAUCACACUAUUAUUCUUUUAAACAUAAUUGAAUACGUUGUUUUUCCUUAUAGUAAUUUCUUGAACAAACUUAUAUAAGUUAACUUUUAUCCUUACAAUAAAAUAAUUAUUUAACCUACUAGUAAAAGAUUAUUAUCAAAAUAAGUUACUUUUCAUUUUCUGUUUAAUCAAGUAUUUUCUAUAAUUUCAACCUCACGUAAGGUUAGGGGUGCCGGGAAGGGAAGUUGAC